AACGAACGCUGGCGGCAUGCCUAACACAUGCAAGUCGAACGAGACCUUCGGGUCUAGUGGCGCACGGGUGCGUAACGCGUGGGAACCUGCCCUUAGGUUCGGAAUAACUCCCCGAAAGGGGUGCUAAUACCGGAUAAUGUCUUCGGACCAAAGAUUUAUCGCCUUUGGAUGGGCCCGCGUUGGAUUAGCUAGUUGGUAGGGUAAAAGCCUACCAAGGCGACGAUCCAUAGCUGGUCUGAGAGGAUGAUCAGCCACACUGGGACUGAGACACGGCCCAGACUCCUACGGGAGGCAGCAGUGGCGAAUAUUGGACAAUGGGCGAAAGCCUGAUCCAGCAAUGCCGCGUGAGUGAUGAAGGCCUUAGGGUUGUAAAGCUCUUUUACCCGGGAUGAUAAUGACAGUACCGGGAGAAUAAGCUCCGGCUAAUUCCGUG
This 433-nucleotide ribosomal RNA is filed under the name uncultured bacterium. RNAcentral describes it as "partial 16S ribosomal RNA". It matches the Rfam family "Bacterial small subunit ribosomal RNA", at positions 29 to 507 of the family's 1533-position model. The record is from RNAcentral.